Salvia miltiorrhiza (redroot sage) is the source of this 2176-nucleotide long non-coding RNA. RefSeq lists it as uncharacterized. The transcript is spliced from 2 exons. The record is from RefSeq and is a predicted model, not a curated record. NCBI's taxonomy places the organism in Eukaryota, Viridiplantae, Streptophyta, Magnoliopsida, Lamiales, Lamiaceae.
UAGUCAUGCCCUUAUAUCCUUACUUCUCUCUGCACAACCAAAGUUGGAAUUCAUAGAAGCCUUUAAGCUCCAAGAGUAGUAUCAAAGUAAGGGAGAGCGUGGGAAACCUAGGGCGUAAAGUUAGAGUGAAGAUUGUGCUUCGAGGGUGAGUUUUCUUUGGUUUUUCUCAAUAGAAAAUGCUUUAAGACCAUGGAUUUUUACACAUAUGUGUGCUAUAUUAUGUGAGGAUAUGUUUUAUGAUUUUGGAUGAUUAUUUUGGUAGAGUUUAUUGGGUGAAAAACCGUGCAUGAGGUAAGGCAGCGAAUCUGCCAUAAGCACACUGCUCCGGCAGUGUAUUGCAAGGCGAUGCCAGCCAUCCAAACGGUUCCCAAAAAUUCCCAAAUUAAUUGUGUAUCGUGUUUAAUAUGUUUUCUAUACUAUGGUAAAAUUUAAGAAUAUUUAGAGCUCUCAUGUUUUAUUUAUGAAAUUUUAAACAUCACUGCCCAUCUGGAAUAUAUUUUUGGUAAACCAUCUUUGGGAGGCCAUAAGUCAAGUUUAAAUCGGUGAACAUCUUUGAAACUUGAGUAUGUCACUCUAGACUCCCGUAUCUUUCUUUUGGAAUUGGCCUCACCAUUUUUGAGUAAGGAAAACAACCGGUAUAAAUUUUUGAAAUCUAGUUCUUAUUCCUUGAGCCAUCCAGUAGGUUUAACAAACCUACGACUUUGAGGUCUCAAAGGCCGACUUAAAUCUUUGAUUCUCAAGCCUAUCUUUCUACUGAAUAUUCACUGACAUGUUGGGAACUUACUUGUUCAGUUUUAGAAUUUUUGGUGAAGCCUAAAGUGGUUUUUCCGAUUUAUGUUUUGAAUCUGCCAAACUUGAACUCUUUUUGUGCACUGAACUUUAGACAGUCAUAUCUUCUAAACCAUGAAUUGUCUUGGAGUAAAUCCAACUGGAGAGUGUUAUGAUCUCUCCCUAGUUUCCGAAUUGACCCUUGGGGUUCCCAGUGGAGUUUUGUAAAGGGAGAUAUGAAUUUUUAAAGAAAGCCCACUGACUUGGUUGUAAUCUGGAAAUCUGAAAUUUUUAUAUUUUUGUUUGUUAAAUACCCAUCUUUGAGAGGACAUAUCUUGCUCGUUUGAACUGUUUUUCAUUUGAUUCAAAUUGGAGAAUGAUCCUUGAAAUGUCUAGUUUCCAGAAUGUCUUUUGGAGCCUUAUUUGGAGAUCCGAGGCAGAUUUGGUGUCUGUUGCAAAACAAUCCCUUAAGUGCUCAAGUUGUUGAAUUAUUUUCUAUGUAUCAAAGUUUAUUUUAAAGGAUGUUUCAUGAAAGAUUUAGUAUAUGUGCGUAACGAGUUUGGGGCUUUGAUUUUUUUUAUCUCACUUGGGCUUUUAUUUUUAAUUCAAAGUGGACUGCCUUAUUAAAUAAAUUGGGCUGCAUUUUUACUAAGAAAAAUGACUUGGUUUAAAUUUACUAAUUAGACUCUGAUAAAGUUUAAUUAUUUAUUUCUUUAAAGAAUGAUUUCAUAUUAAUAUUAAUUAUUAUUAUGUGCAUAUUUUAAGUAAUUACUUAUUAUAUGCUAAGCAUGACAUGAAAUUGCAUUAUAUUUUGCAAUAAAAUUAUUUAUGAUUUAAUUGGUUUUUAUUAUAAUUCCAAUUAUUAAAGAAAGAUGAGUAAGAAUAUUGUUGGUGUUCUUAACUCAAGAGAAAUGUUUUCAAUUAUUUAUUUAUUAAAUUUUGAAAACCCGGCUAAGUGAAUUAUAAAAUAUUAAGCACUACACCAUGACGUAAGAUUAGCUUCACGAGACCUAUUAAGAAUAGAAUUUCUUGUAGGCUUUGUGACCAGGGGGAUUAGCGCUGCUUUCCCAAGACAGGUUUAUAUGUGAUUAUGAUCUUCAGGCUUUGCCUAACCAGGUUGGCUGGCCGGUGCUGACGGGACGGAGCUGAGGCUAGAGAUAAAUUCCUAUGUUAGACUUCCGUUGUAGCAAUUACUCUUAUACAUCUUUUGUUUUCUCAACUUAAGAUGACUUCAUGUCGAGCUUAAAUUUGAAAUUCUAGUUUUAUGUUAAUGAAUGUUGGUUGUCAGAAACAUGAAACAAAACUUGUGAUCCAAAGGGGCAUAGCCCGACUCUCUAUCUUAUUAUUCGGGUUUUAACAAGGUUGUUCCUUGUUUAUUUCUAUGAAUUAUUCACACCUCGAUUAUAUU